Molecule: non-coding RNA, 24 nt
Filed under: Arabidopsis thaliana (thale cress)
Lineage: Eukaryota; Viridiplantae; Streptophyta; Magnoliopsida; Brassicales; Brassicaceae
Source: RNAcentral
CGAAAAGGUAUCACAUGCCAAGUU